GGAGAUAGUCGAGCAACCGCUGCUAGCUACUUGUAGUUAGGGGAGGAAAGUCCGGGCUCCACAGGGCAGGGUGCCAGGUAACGCCUGGGUAGCGUGAGCUAACGGCCAGUGCAGCAGAGAGUAUACCGCCGAUGGUUCUCUUCGGAGUUCACAGGUAAGGGUGAAAGGGUGCGGUAAGAGCGCACCGCGCGACUGGUAACAGUUCGUGGCACGGUAAACCCCACUCGGAGCAAGACCAAAUAGGCUCCCUAAUGGCGUGGCCCACGUCGGGAGCGGGUAGGUCGCUUGAGCCUUAGAGUGAUUUAAGGCCUAGAUGAAUGGUUGCGCCUGUUUACAGGUUACAGAACCCGGCUUACAGACCAAUCUCUACUU
This 372-nucleotide RNase P RNA is filed under the name Gammaproteobacteria bacterium. RNAcentral's name for it is "RNase P RNA component class A". It matches the Rfam family "Bacterial RNase P class A". From Rfam's summary of the family: Ribonuclease P (RNase P) is a ubiquitous endoribonuclease, found in archaea, bacteria and eukarya as well as chloroplasts and mitochondria. The record is from RNAcentral. Lineage: Bacteria; Pseudomonadati; Pseudomonadota; Gammaproteobacteria.